RNAcentral lists this ribosomal RNA (497 nucleotides) under uncultured bacterium. Its description in RNAcentral is "partial 16S ribosomal RNA". It matches the Rfam family "Bacterial small subunit ribosomal RNA", at positions 28 to 507 of the family's 1533-position model. The record is from RNAcentral.
GAUGAACGCUGGCGGCGUGCCUAAUACAUGCAAGUCGAGCGAACAGACGAGGAGCUUGCUCCUCUGACGUUAGCGGCGGACGGGUGAGUAACACGUGGAUAACCUACCUAUAAGACUGGGAUAACUUCGGGAAACCGGAGCUAAUACCGGAUAAUAUAUUGAACCGCAUGGUUCAAUAGUGAAAGACGGUUUUGCUGUCACUUAUAGAUGGAUCCGCGCCGCAUUAGCUAGUUGGUAUGGUAACGGCUUACCAAGGCAACGAUGCGUAGCCGACCUGAGAGGGUGAUCGGCCACCCUGGAACUGAGACACGGUCCAGACUCCUACGGGAGGCAGCAGUAGGGAAUCUUCCGCAAUGGGCGAAAGCUUGACGGAGCAACGCCGCGUGAGUGAUGAAGGUCUUCGGAUCGUAAAACUCUGUUAUUAGGGAAGAACAAAUGUGUAAGUAACUAUGCACGUCUUGACGGUACCUAAUCAGAAAGCCACGGCUAACUACGUG